GCUCGCCGGAUUCUGGAAAUUUUCCGGCCACCGACGCUUUCGAUCAAGAUAUCUCGAGCUGUAGAGCUUCGUUUUGAGUGAUUCUUGAACCAGUGAGUUCGUCUUUAAGUUCUGAACAAGUCUCCUGAAGGAAUCGAAGCGAAAGGAGGACAUUUUUACGUUGAUCGGAGCUUCGCCAGUUUCUGCAAAUUCUCGCCGGUUUCUGGAAAAAUUCCGGCCACCUCGACUGUUUUAGGUGAUCGAUGGAUUUAUUUGGCGGACGAUUCGUGAGAUUGUUAAUUGAGCUGUUAAGAAGACGCAGCUGGAUCAGAGCGGAUAAUCCUACAGGACUGGAGAAUUCAGGAAGGUGAUCGAACCGUGUAGAGUAGCUGCUUUGUAAUACUCUGAUUUUCAGUUGUGAGGUUUGUUAUGCUCAUUAGAGCUUUACAAUUUACUUUGUACGAGUGAGUUGUAAUAAUUAACUCGAGGUCUUCGAGUUUUGAAUUUGAGCGUGAGUGGCGAGGUUGUUUCUGAGAAAAAAAAAAAUUCAGAACGUUUAUUUGUUUAAGUUGUUUAAUUCAU
Long non-coding RNA from Rosa rugosa (rugosa rose), 561 nucleotides. RefSeq lists it as uncharacterized. The transcript is spliced from 3 exons. NCBI's taxonomy places the organism in Eukaryota, Viridiplantae, Streptophyta, Magnoliopsida, Rosales, Rosaceae. The record is from RefSeq and is a predicted model, not a curated record.